GACGAACGCUGGCGGCGUGCCUAAUACAUGCAAGUAGAACGCACAGUUUAUACCGUAGCUUGCUACACCAUAAACUGUGAGUUGCGAACGGGUGAGUAACGCGUAGGUAACCUGCCUGGUAGCGGGGGAUAACUAUUGGAAACGAUAGCUAAUACCGCAUAAUAUUAAUUAUUGCAUGAUAAUUGAUUGAAAGAUGCAAUUGCAUCACUACCAGAUGGACCUGCGUUGUAUUAGCUAGUAGGUGAGGUAACGGCUCACCUAGGCGACGAUACAUAGCCGACCUGAGAGGGUGAUCGGCCAAACUGGGACUGAGACACGGCCCAGACUCCUACGGGAGGCAGCAGUAGGGAAUCUUCGGCAAUGGACGAAAGUCUGACCGAGCAACGCCGCGUGAGUGAAGAAGGUUUUCGGAUCGUAAAGCUCUGUUGUAAGAGAAGAACGGGUGUGAGAGUGGAAAGUUCACACUGUGACGGUAUCUUACCAGAAAGGGACGGCUAACUACGUG
RNAcentral lists this ribosomal RNA (505 nucleotides) under uncultured bacterium. Its description in RNAcentral is "partial 16S ribosomal RNA". It matches the Rfam family "Bacterial small subunit ribosomal RNA", at positions 28 to 507 of the family's 1533-position model. The record is from RNAcentral.